CCUGUCCUGUAAUUGAUAAUCCACGAUUUUCUAAACUUAUUUUUUUAGUUUGCAUACCAUCGUAUAUUGAAUAUUUUUUAAGAAUUACAAUAUUCAAAAUUUCGUGAGAAAAAAAAUCAGAUCAAGGUGUAGCUUAUAGGUAAGAAGAGAUGGGUUACAAUAAAAUUAUUUAAACGGAUAAAUUUUUGUUAUAAAAUUUUGAAGGUGGAUUUGAAAGUAAUUUUAUUUAAAUUUUUAAAAUGAUUUAAGCUCUAAAAUAUGUACAUAUCGCCCGUCACUUUCAUUUCAAGAUGGAAUAAGUCGUAACAUAGUAGAUGUACUGGAAAGUGUAUCUAGAACGGUUGAAUUAAAGCUUUUGAAGCAUUUUAGUUACAUUAAAAAGAUUAUUGGAAACAAUAUAAUUUAAAGGUUAAGAAUUAUUAAAUUAGAUAAUUAAAAUAUAGGGUUAUAUAAAUAUAGUCAAAUAAAAUAAAAAAAGUAAUUUUUAUUUUUAUUAGUUUUUAUGAAUUAAUAAUAAUAAUUAUAGUUUAUUAGUAUUGAGAAAGAAUUUAGUUAUUUAUUUAAAAGAAAAAUUUAUUUUUUGUACCUUGGGUAUCAGGGUUUAUUAAUUAAAAUUUAAUAAAUUAAAUUUCUCGAAUUUAAAAGGGCUAUAAAUAUAUAAUUAUUACUGUGGAAUAAGUAUUAUAAAUAUAUUUAUAGAAAUGAAACGUUAUACGAUUUUAAAUAUAUCUAGUUUUUAAAGAAAAAAAUUUAAUUUUAUUUUUAUUUUAUUAUAUAAUUAAAUUGUUAGUUAUAUACUAGUAAAAUUUAAUAAAUUAAGGGAUAAGCUUUAAUUUAAAUUUAUAUAAUUAAUUUAUAUAUAUAUAAAAAUUAAUAAGUAGAAUUGUAAGUUUUCAUCUUUUGGUAGUGUAUUAUAACUAUUUAAUUUAUUUAUAUAAUUUAUAUCAAUAAAUUUAUGUAUUUUAUUUAAAUAUAGAUAAAAAUAUUGUAUAUUUAGAAAUAAUGAUAAAAUUAGUAUAAUUUUUUGUAUUGUAUUUAUUUACAAGAAAGGUUAAAUAAAGGAAUUCGGCAAUAAGAAUUUUCCACCUGUUUAUUAAAAACAUGGCUUUUUGAGUAUAAUUUAAAGUCUGGCCUGCCCAAUGAGGAAUUUAAUGGCCGCGGUAUCUUGACCGUGCAAAGGUAGCAUAAUCAUUAGUUUUUUAAUUGAAAGCUUGUAUGAAAGGUUGGAUGAGAAAAUAACUGUCUCUAUUUAAAUUAAUUAGAAUUUUAUUUUUAAGUAAAAAAGCUUAAAUAAUUAUAAAAGACGAGAAGACCCUAUAGAGUUUUAUAAUUAUUUUAUAUGAAAGAAUUUUUAGGAUUUUU
This 1362-nucleotide ribosomal RNA is filed under the name Exeiratus bigranulatus. RNAcentral's name for it is "partial 16S ribosomal RNA". Lineage: Eukaryota; Metazoa; Arthropoda; Insecta; Coleoptera; Curculionidae. The record is from RNAcentral.